Molecule: transfer RNA, 72 nt
Filed under: Camelus bactrianus (Bactrian camel)
Lineage: Eukaryota; Metazoa; Chordata; Mammalia; Artiodactyla; Camelidae
Also listed under: 3 other names
Rfam family: tRNA
About the family: Transfer RNA (tRNA) molecules are approximately 80 nucleotides in length. Their secondary structure includes four short double-helical elements and three loops (D, anti-codon, and T loops).
Source: Rfam by way of RNAcentral
GAGGGUAUAGCUCAGGGGUAGAAUGUGUGCUUAGCAUGCAUGAGGUCCUGGGUUCAAUCCCCAGCACCUCCA